GUCCACGCCGUAAACGAUGGGCACUAGGUGUCGGGGGUAUCCACUCCCUCGGUGCCGCCGCUAACGCAUUAAGUGUCCCGCCUGGGAAGUACGGUCGCAAGAUUAAAACUCAAAGGAAUUGACGGGGGCCCGCACAAGCGGUGGAGCAUGUGGUUCAAUUCGAUGCUACGCGAAGAACCUUACCUGGGUUUGACAUCUGGCGAAUUCACUGGAAACAGAGAAGUGCCCGCAAGGGAACGCCAAGACAGGUGCUGCAUGGCUGUCGU
This 266-nucleotide ribosomal RNA is filed under the name uncultured bacterium. RNAcentral describes it as "partial 16S ribosomal RNA". It matches the Rfam family "Bacterial small subunit ribosomal RNA", at positions 793 to 1055 of the family's 1533-position model. The record is from RNAcentral.